This 405-nucleotide ribosomal RNA is filed under the name uncultured bacterium. RNAcentral's name for it is "partial 16S ribosomal RNA". It matches the Rfam family "Bacterial small subunit ribosomal RNA", at positions 28 to 526 of the family's 1533-position model. The record is from RNAcentral.
GACGAACGCUGGCGGCGUGCUUAACACAUGCAAGUCGAGCGGUGCGGCGAACGGGCGAGUAACGCGUGAGUAACUGCCCCCCUCCCUGGGAUAACAGUUGGCAACGGCUGCUAAUACCGGAUAGUGGGGGAUGGCGCGCGUCCUAUCUGCUUGUUUGUGGGGUAGUGGCCUACCAAGGCGACGACGGGUAGCCGGCCUGAGAGGGCGAACGGCCACAAUGGGCUAAGAUACGGCCCAAACUGCUACGGGGGGCAGCAGGGGGGAAUAUUGCACAAUGGGGGAAACCCUGAUGCAGCGACGCCGCGGGCGGGAUGACGGCCUUCGGGUUGUAAACCGCUUUCAGCCAUGACGCGGUAGUGGCAGAAGAAGCACCGGCUAACUACGUGCCAGCAGCCGCGGUAAUAC